RNAcentral lists this small RNA (560 nucleotides) under Pan troglodytes (chimpanzee). RNAcentral describes it as "processed transcript". The record is from RNAcentral. Lineage: Eukaryota; Metazoa; Chordata; Mammalia; Primates; Hominidae.
UUUCUUUGAUUAGGAAAGGGAACUCCCUGACCCCUUGCGCUUCCCGAGUGAGGCAAUGCCUCGCCCUCCUUUGGCUCGCGCACAGUGCGUGCACCCACUUACCUGCGCCCACUGUCUGGCACUCCCUAGUGAGAUGAACCCGGUACCUCAAAUGGAAAUGCAGAAAUCACCGGUCUUCUGCGUUGCUCAGGCUGGGAGCUGUAGACCCGAGCUGUUCCUAUUCGGCCAUCUUGGUUCCUCCCCCGAGUAUCUGACUGUCUUCUCUCAGAUGAUUGCAUUUCAUGAUCCAGAGCUGAGUAAUCAUCUCAAUGAGAUUGGCUUCAUUCCAGAUCUCUAUGCCAUCCCUUGGUUUCUUACCAUGUUUACUCAUGUAUUUCCACUACACAAAAUUUUCCACCUCUGGGAUACCUUACUACUUGGGAAUUCCUCUUUCCCAUUCUGUAUUGGAGUAGCAAUUCUUCAGCAGCUGCGGGACCGGCUUUUGGCUAAUGGCUUUAAUGAGUGUAUUCUUCUCUUCUCCGAUUUACCAGAAAUUGACAUUGAACGCUGUGUGAGAGAAU